AAAAAGAUAAGCUAAUUAAGCUAUCAGGUUCAUACCCUGAGAAUAGAAGUUAUAAUCUUCUUCUUUUUA
RNAcentral lists this transfer RNA (69 nucleotides) under Rhynocoris incertis. Its description in RNAcentral is "tRNA-Met". It matches the Rfam family "tRNA". Rfam says of the family: Transfer RNA (tRNA) molecules are approximately 80 nucleotides in length. The record is from RNAcentral. RNAcentral also lists the same sequence under 1 other name. Lineage: Eukaryota; Metazoa; Arthropoda; Insecta; Hemiptera; Reduviidae.